CCCUUAGAUGUUCUGGGCCGCACGCGCGCUACACUGACGGAGGCAGCGAGCGUGUCCUUCGCCGGCAGGUGCGGGCAAUCUUGCGAGUCUCCGUCGUGCUGGGGAUAGAUGGUUGCAAUUGUCGAUCUUGAACGAGGAAUUCCUAGUAAGCGCGAGUCAUCAGCUCGCGCUGAUUACGUCCCUGCCCUUUGUACACACCGCCCGUCGCUACUACAGAGGGCCCGUGUCCAAGAAACGGUCGGACCUGUGCGGCCUCUCCGGGCGACCGGAGGGCCGUUACGGGGAAGACCCUUUAUUUGACGCGGGUCGAUGAAGUAAAAGUCGUAACA
This 329-nucleotide ribosomal RNA is filed under the name uncultured eukaryote. RNAcentral describes it as "partial 18S ribosomal RNA". It matches the Rfam family "Eukaryotic small subunit ribosomal RNA", at positions 1470 to 1796 of the family's 1831-position model. The record is from RNAcentral.